This 277-nucleotide ribosomal RNA is filed under the name uncultured bacterium. Its description in RNAcentral is "partial 16S ribosomal RNA". It matches the Rfam family "Bacterial small subunit ribosomal RNA", at positions 65 to 339 of the family's 1533-position model. The record is from RNAcentral.
CACAAGACUGAAUCUGGAUCACCAUCUAGUGGCAGACGGGUGAGUAACACGUGGGUGACCUACCUUUUCGUUGGGGAUAACAGUUGGAGACGAUUGCUAAUACCGAAUAAAAUAUAAGAGCCAAUUUUAUAUUGAAAGGAGCCUUUAAAGCUUCGCGAUUAGAUGGGCCUGCGGCGUAUUAACUUGUUGGUGAGGUAACGGCUCACCAAGGUAACGAUGCGUAGCCGAACUGAGAGGUUGAUCGGCCACACUGGUACUGAGACACGGACCAAACUCC